Non-coding RNA from Cordylochernes scorpioides, 8792 nucleotides. The record is from the annotation of a GenBank genome assembly. NCBI's taxonomy places the organism in Eukaryota, Metazoa, Arthropoda, Arachnida, Pseudoscorpiones, Chernetidae.
GUGGGGGGGGAAUGUCAGCUGUCCCAAUGUACCUGUAAAAUGUCACAUGCGACCGAGUUCAAGCAGCCAUUAUUUUUAUUUAUUUCAAGCUAUAUAGAUGACAUUAAAAGAAAAUAUCAUUUUUUAAACAUGUUAUUAUAUGAACAACUCGAUUUUCAUACGGCCCACUGGACCAUGUAACUCUGGAAUCAUAAGUGCAAAAACAGACAUCCCUAAAGGACUCCUUUAAAAUAUCUUUAUGAUUCUUUUUUAAUAAUAUUCUUAAACAUUUUUAAUUUUUUUUUCAUAUUUAUUAACUUUUCAAUAUAGAAAAUAAGAUAACAUAAAAGGGAUAAAUUCAUUUAAUGGACCUCACUAAAAACUGCAUUUCUAGCCGAGUGACCUGGGCAAAGCCCCAGGUUUACCCUAAAGGCCUGUGAAUGGGCAGGAUAACCAUAUGUGUGCCAUUGCAAAGAUCCUAAAUCAAUGUAUAGAGCACUGGGGAAAAUAGGUUUUUUUUUUUUUGCUUAUCCCUAGUACACGUGGUACAGGCCAUGAUAAUCAUGGUGGGUAGUUAGCGACUGCUUUUACUGUAAGCGCACCACAUGUCUACACAUGUGAAAAGCAGUUUGACUUUGCACUUACAAAUGCCAGAGCCCCGUUCGGUUACUUGCACUCGCUGGUGGGGUUGGACUUUUGCAAGAAUCGGGGGCCAUUGGAGCAUUUUUUUUUUUAAACAGAAAAAAGUGCCCAAUGCGGGAAUCGAACCCGGGUCCUAGUGGUCGAAAACCAAACGGUUUACCCAGCCUUCCACCGACCAAAAGUCAAAAUAAUAAUAAAUAUUUUAUGAAUGAACAAAUAAUACAAAAAAUUGCUUUCAGGUGAGAAACUAUAGGCAUUGGUGAAAACUUUAAAAAAUUAUAUUGAAAAAAAAAAAGAAAACAAAUAUUAAAAGAAAAUUCAAUACAACACAACUAUAUAGCAAAUACAGCCAUUAUUUCUACCCGAGUGACCCGGCAACGCCCCGGGUUUAGCCUAAAAACAUGUGAAGCGCUAGAUAACCAUAUGUGAGACAUUGCAUAGAUCCUGAAUCAAUGUAUAGAGCACUGGGGAAAAUAGGUAAAUAAAGACCAAAAAUCAAAAUACUUAAUUAUAAAUAUUUUAUUAGUGAACAACUAAUACAAAAAAAUCCUUUCAGGUGAGAAACUAUGUUGUUGAUGUUUCUUAUCCCCUUGUGUAAAGAUUACACGAAUUCCAUGAUCUCAUGGAAUGGGGUAUAGGGGUGCAGCUUUCGUUGAUCAUGGCACCAUGAUCCAGGCACACUUUGGUGAAAGUCUGACUUUGCCUGUGAUUUGAGGCCAUUCCAAAUAUGGAAGCCUUUGUUUCUGACUCUAACAUGAGCACAGACGCAGCUCCUCCGUAUCCCUGGAGUGGAACCAUUGCUGAGGUCCAUCAACUGGGUCAGUUGAACUCAGGAUUUUUAAAGAGGGAGUGUCCCUCCUGGUUACAGCAUCAAGUCUACCAGAACAAGACUUGAUACAAUCGUGUAGAGAGUUUACUGUACCUCCCAACAAUGUCCACUGCACCACAGGCCAGUUACAGAGGGGUAAGCAUGGGAGGUGUGAGAAACUAUAGGCAUUGGUUGAUGAGGCACAAUUUGGAUUGUAGAUUAUAAACAAAAGGUAAUAAGACCAAAUCCAAAUAUAUAAAUAGUGUGUGACGUUUCGGUAACAGCGUUGUUACCAUCUUCAGACAAAAGUACUGAAUGGAAAAAAGGAGCCUACAGCACCCGGUGUUCCCAGGUGGUCACCCUCCCAAGUACUGACCGAGCCCGACGUUGCUUAACUUCGGUGAUCGGACGAGAACCGGUGUUUUCAACGUGGUAUGGCCGUAGGCCAUAGUACUUUUGUCUGAAGAUGGUAACAACGCUGUUACCGAAACGUCACACACUAUUUAUUUAUUUGGAUUUGGUCUUAUUACCUUUUGUUUAUAGACAUUGGUGAAACUUUAAACAAUUUUUUUGGAAAUGAAACAAAAAGUAAAAGAAAACAAAUCUUAAAAGAAAAUUAAAUACAACACAACAAUAAACCAAAUUAGACAACAUAAAAGGCAUACAUUCAUUUAUUUGAAAUGAAAAAAAAAAUUAAAAGAAAACAAAUCUGAAAAUAAAAUUGAAUACAACACAACUAUAUAGCAGAUAAGACAACAUAAAAAGGAAAAAUUCAUUUAAAGGACCUCAUUAAAAACUAUAUUUCUAGUUUUAUAAAUACGUGGGUUCAACUUUACCCGUAUGCUAUUCAAAGUUCGCACACGUGAAAAAGCCACAUAGAGCUGUCCAUGAGUAAACACGGGCUCAUGUAGCAAGAGACCCACUCUAGCAAAGGUUUGGCCUUGAGCCUUAUUAAUAGUCAUGGCAAAAGCCAACCUUAGUGGAAACUGACGCCUCUUCAGAAUGAAGGGAAGGUUGGUAUCUGAAGGAGCCAAAGAUAUUUUUGGCACCAAUACAGUUUGUCAAACUUUGGUCCCUGUCAGUAUUUGUGCUUCUAGGACAUGAGAGCGCAUGCGCUGGAUAACCAUACGUGUGCCAUUGCAGAGACCCUGCUUAGGAUUCAAAUUUCUAAGGAGCAUAACAAUAGCACCAAUCUUAAGGUUUAACCGGUGUGGAGGCAUUCCUGUGGGAGUAAGACUAUUAAGGAAUUCAGUAGGGUAGUUAUUUUGUUCCUCCACAUUCUCACACUCGACACUGUCAACACUGAGAAAACACUGACUCCUGUUUGGUAAGCGAUCCAAAACUUUUUCAUUAAUCUCUAACGAAUCUGUGUUUUUUGGCGUUAAAAUCACAGACUGGCUAAGGGCGGUAAUAUCACCAUAGGAAGAACCAAAUAUUUCCUGCACCAGGUCAACCCCAUGAAAGAUACAGCUUUCUGGAAGAGAAAUGAGGCCCUGUUGGUCUGUAGGUAGAUCACCAUCACCAACUUUAAGUAACCAUUGAGAGAAGCUCUGUGCAUCAAUACCUGCUCGCAUAUUCUGAGUAAGGCGCAAGAUCACAAACAAUGGCCAUAGCUUGCUUUGCUUAAUGCAAGCAGCAACAAUUUCAGCUCUUGAAGCUCGAGGUACCACAGGUAGCACUUGGCGAAAGUCACCUCCAAGAACAACAACCUUUCCGCCAAAAGCAAGGUCACAAUGCAUAAUGUCCUUUAGGAGACGAUCCACAAUUUCAAGUGCUCUGUAGUGGGCCAUAGGAGCCUCAUCCCAAAUAAUUAAGGAUGAUCUACGAAUAAGCUCAGCCUCAGAACUAUUGGCCGAGAUCGCAGCUACAGAAUUCUCAAGCAAGGGAAUCGGCAGCUUAAACCUGGAAUGGACAGUCUGGCCACCUGACAAAAGGGUAGCCGCUAUUCCAGUGGAGGCCAGCGGAAUGACAAUUUUUCCAACGGCUCUAACACAAUGAAUUAGGGUGUUAUAAACAUAAGUCUUGCCCGUACCACCAGGCCCAUCAAUAAAAAAGCAACGUGGAUUUACAUUGAGGGAAUCAACAAUUGUGUCAACAAUUGACUUUUGAUCUGGUGUAAGGGACCUAUACAUUUCUGUCCCAAUUUGCAGCUCUGCAUUAACAUCAAGGUGAUCCUCUCCUGAAUCAAGAAGUGGGGUUAGGGGUGCAGGAAGUCCAUAAUGGUGGCAACUGAGGCGAUUUUCUCUCAGCUGGAAUUCAAGUUCUCUGAGAGUCAUCUGUUCAGCAGCUGCGUCAGAUGUUGCACGAGAAAAGUCCUCACUAAGAUACCCCUUGUAUUUGGUCCACAGUGAUACAGGGUCGGUAGGAUUAUUGUAGAUGAGAAUUGUCGCAAAGAGCUGCCGCAGUUGACAAGGCAUUUGGAACAAAGCCGCCUCAGCUAAGCAUGCAUCCCAUUCAGAAUCAUCAGCCAAUAAUCCACGGCGCUGGGCAGCCUCUUUAAAAGUGGAGCAAACAAUAUCAUCCACAGUUCGCAAAUCUUCAAAACUCUGAGCACCUGCAACAUGUAAUAGUAGAAGCCGGAGGUGGUAACGCUCAGAAUCUUUAGGAUUCACUGAACACAUACGUCCAAUGCACAAAGCCCCACCCCGAACUCUAGCACUCCAUUGAUUCUGCCUGAAAACAUAAGCGGAAGGUAUGUCUCCAUAUAAAAGUGAUCUUGCGGAUACAUUAACACAAUUGAGCUGAAACCAGGCAGUCAGAGUUGUGCGUCUGCGUGAGGCAUUUUCAAGAGCCUGUUCUUCACUACCUUCAACAAAAUAGACAGAUUGAAAAUUAGGUAGAUGAACAGCUAAGCGGCAUAUGGUAUGCGAGUGAGCAUGCAAGCGAUAUUCAAACAUUCGCCACAUUGCCUCAGGAGCACUUACAUACCGAGCGUCAAGAAAGUUUUUGAUUUCAUCAUGUGCCCUGCUUUCCAUAUCUAAUUCUCCAACAGACACUUCCACCUCAGCCCUGUCGUGUCCCUUAUAUACAUACUUGAAAAGAUAUUUGACACUUUUCACAGAGGCACAGACCUCCACAUUAAUGUGAGCAUUGAACCUAACCAGCAGAUAGGGGUUAUAGGGAACAACCCAGCGGUUAUCCACCUCGUGAGUGCCCACAACUAAUGUCUGGCCGUCAUCUCGACGUCUGUAGCGAGGAUAGCCAUUAUUGUUAGCCUCAGUCAGCUGCAGGAAUGAUUUAGGGAAGUCUUUAGUACACUUGCCAUCAGACAUGCAUGGUGAGUGAAGAUUGAAGUUUCCACAAGGACCAUGGAUCAUAUGUUUACGAACCAUGUCAUACAGCUGAACCUGCAUAGUAGGGCUAGGAAUUUCUGCACAAACCAACAUGUCAAUGGCAUCCCUGUCUCUAGGCUUGUCUUCUUCUCUAAGCAUAAACAGCAUGUGGGCAUGCGGUAAACCGCGUUUUUGGAACUCAACAACAUGCACCCGAGCAAUGACCACUCCCAAUACAUGCUGACUAACAAUCUCGUGCAGUAAUUGUUGUAACUUGAGAUUGAAAACUCUAGCCACCAGAUCCGGUCUAUCAGAAGGAUUCUGGUUAGGAAGAAGAUUUUCAACAAUGUCAGUCCAACGUGGGUUACAGGUAAAUGUCACGAAUAGGUCAGGUCUUCCAAACUUUCUAACAAUGGCCAUUGCAUCCUGAUAGUUUUGUUGCAUGGCCCGGGAACUCCCAGGAAAGGAAGAUGGAAGAAUAAAAAUACGGCCUAUUCGCACACCCCGAGAAUGUUCCUGCUCAUGGAUAUAAUCCAGCAGACCUUGAUAUAACUCCACCCUAAGCAGGGACUGAUUUUGGCGAAUAUAGUUCAGGCGAUUGCCCUCUGUUUUAACAUAGGCAUCAACAACAUAUUGCUGAAAUAGUCUCCUGCCAUAGUGAAUGGGCGAAAAGCCAGGUCUGAUGGCCAACCUAUAACUAUAGAACUGAAGCAUGGUAACAUGGUUUCUAGUGCUUGUGCGCAUGUUUUCUUCAUGUAAGAUUCCUAUUGCCCAACCAGGAUCACCGGCAGGAAAUAAAAGAGGGUAUGUCAUUGGGUCACAGUUAGGAUUAAGUGGAGAAAUACGCACUAAACCACAAUCAUGCGGAAAAACAGCAAUAUCUCUGUUAGAAGGUACAUGGCCAUCUUGAUCAACAAAAAUGGCCGCAACUUCACUUACACUUGGGGCAUUAUAUCGGCGAAGAUCUCUACAAUGAUUUUGCCGGAUGAGCAUCUGAACCUGACACAUUUGCCGGUUCUCAAUGCGAGCCCGGUGUUCCUCAGCUAGUUCCACCUGGUGCAUCUGCCUAUAAGCAGAAGUAUACGGAUUCACACGCCUAAGCACAGAAUCCAAAAGAGUCAAUAUACCAGGAUGGCAUUCCAAAGGCCUAGAUGCUCGAGUCCUAUAAGCGAGUCUUCCACGGCCUCUGCGAGGCAUGAUACAGAAGCCGCUGAAAAAAAAAAGCUAAACUAAAAACCAAGUUGAGCAAAUACAUGUUAAAAUAAAUUUAAUGUAAAAGAUCUCAAUAUAAACAACAUAUUAAAUUGCACAGUGCAAAAAUGUAGAAAAUUGUAUGUAUCAUAUAACAUUUUAUCAUAUAACAAAUUAAGUAAUCAACAAUUGAUUAUACAAAUAAAUAAUUAGCCUCUUAUUGAGAAAAAUAAAGAUGCCAAAGACAUUAUGAAAGAUACUGCAAAAAAAGAAUUAUGAAAGAUACGGCAAAAAAGAAAACCAGACACAAAAAAUUGAGCAAAAUGUAAAAUUAAAAACUAUAACAAAGAACCCGCAAAUUAAUUUAAUCAGAAAUACAAAAAAGACGCUGAAAAAAAAAGGUAAAAUAAGAACCAAGCAGAGGAAAACUAUAAAACUGAAAGCCAGGACAGGCAUAAAAAGAAAAUCCCAAGUAAGUGAGGAAAAAAUUGAUGAAAAAAAAAAUGUGCAAAUAAUAUGUAUAUAAAAAAGCAAAGCGCAAUUCUAAACCCAAAUAUUUUUUUUAUGAGAAGAACAUCAACAUAUUGAAUGAUUAUGGCAGUCCAUAGCUUCCCUGACAAAAAUUCACCAAAAAAGUUAAAUAUUCCAAAAUAAGUAAGGCACUUUUGCAGCCCCCCUGACAAAAAUUCACUAAAAGAGUUAAGUAUCCAAAAAAAUAUUUUGGUAUAUAUAUUGCUAAAUGUGUAACAAACAUGUAUAUGAAAAAGCAAAGCUUAAUUCUAAGUUUUAAUAUUUUUUUCAAUAUACAGAAGAAAUAAGACACAAAAAUGGAGCUAAAUUCAAAUGAAAAACUAUAACAAACAGUUAUAAAAGAUAAUUAUUAUAGAAUAAAGUAAUAAUAAUUCAAUCUACAAAUAGAAAAAUGUAUAUAUUUAAAUGAAAAACUAAGUUUCAAUAUUUUUUUUAAUAUACAGAAGAAAUAAGACAAAAAUGGAGCUAAAUUCAAAUGAAAAACUAUAACAAACAGUUAUAAAAGAUAAUUUUAUAGAAUAAAGUAAUAAUUCAAUCUACAAAUCGAAAAAUGUAUAUAUUUAAAUGAAAAACUAUAACAAAGUACUUACAUAAUCAAAUUAAUCAGAUAUAUAUAUUAUUUCAAAACACUUUCUACGGAAUUUCAAAACAAAUGAUUGAUGAUGAUAAAUGCAAAAAAUCUACGAUUGUAAAAUAGAUUAAAUUAAAAAAUAAAAAUAACUGUUAACAUUAGGAAAAUAAAAACAGGCCUAUGACACGAAGAAAAAAAUAACGAAAAUUUUGGUAUAUAGAUUGUUAUGUGUAGUUCAGAAUCUUCGGAGGAGAUAGCUCAGGACUUUACAAUGGAAAACUCUGUUACGGUAUUAUCUAUAUAGAUACCAUUGCGUUGGUUAUUUUCCACACAACUCUAUUUAUAUAUUAAGUUUUUAGAAUAAAAAAACAAAUAUUUAGGGAAUUUUAAAAUAUUUUUUACAUUUGGUCAAUAGUGCGUUAAAAACAAAUAUUUUAGAAAAUAAGUUAUAUUAAAAAAAAAUAUCUUUGAUGCAUUCGAAAAGUUUAUAUUAAAGCUAAAUACCAACAAAAAAAAAAUUGACAUAUCCAAAUUAAACAAAAAACAAAAAAAGCUAAAUUGUGUUCCAUCAAUUUUUCCCGCCCAAACUUGAGCGAUUGGGAGUUGUCGUCUGAUGAGAUAUUUAUGAGAAUCAUUAUUGGAGAAAGUCCAAACGAAAAUUUUUUAAAGCAUUUGUUUGUCGUCUGCCAGCCCAAUGGAGAAAAUGAUGAUAGGUGGCUUUUAUCUCGCGUUACUCUGUGUUCUUCUUUUUUUCUUACUUGAGAUGGCUCUUUCUCUCUCUUAUCGAAUGGAAUGCAUUUGAAAAUUUUCAAACAACCAGACUGACAACGCUGGCAUGGAAUCGUUUGAUGGAUGGAGUAAAUUGGCGGGAAAACUAGAUAUCAGCCGAAAUAUGACUUUCUUCUGCUUUUUUUUUUUAACUCUAUAGCACUCGCGGUUUCUCUCUUUUUAGAAUAAUUUUACAUUACAUUAUAAAAUGUUUAUAUAUUCUUACAUCAUGAAUUGUUUAAUGAAAUUUAUUAACUGGUAUGUGUGUACAAUAGAACGAAAAUACGUAUAUUUUAAAAAAUAAUAAUAAAAUUGUGUAACAAUGAAUUGUUGGCAAUGUGUUUUUUUUUUUAUCUCUACAGACCUUACUGCAAUGAUAAAAGUUAUUGAAUGAAAGGACUUGGUUCAUCAGUGGUGAACCCUCUCAGCGGUUUCACCAAAUUAAUCUCCAGACAGCUCUACUAUUGUAUUGGAUUGGUUUUGUUAUAUAUCCUCUAUUUACUAUGGAAGACAGCUUGGGGAUGUUUAAGGAAUCUAUGGAUAUAACCUUAUGGGAUUUUCCUAAGUUAGUCUAUGGCUUUUUUUUUAAUAUCGAGGAAAAACCAACUAGGUACGCGUUUCGGGCUGUUGGCUCUGAUCAGCGUGAUGUAGGUGGUACGUUGAAGGCUUUCUUGUUCCAAAAUCACUUUAUUAGGUACCGCUCAACAAGAGCAACCUAUUCAUGAUAAAAUUGUGAAAAAGUUUUAAAAUUACAAAUAUUUUCUCACAAUGAGUUUAUUUUUAUUUAAAAAAAACGCUAGCUUUCAAGCGAUAAUCGCUCUUCAACGGGCUUACUAUAAUAUCGACUUUAUCCCACCAGAAAUACUUACAAAAACAAACGCGCGCAGCGUGGAUAUUUAUAACUGAAACAUUCAAUGAUCUAUCAACAUAUUGCAUAGACCGGUCACCAAUUCAACAUAACACAAACGAAAUGCCACUACAAAAAAACAUUAAGAACAAAUUUCAACGGUUACUCUUAGAAUCUCUCGUU